This 356-nucleotide unclassified non-coding RNA is filed under the name fungal sp. RNAcentral's name for it is "partial internal transcribed spacer region". The stretch from base 1 to 46 matches the Rfam family "Eukaryotic small subunit ribosomal RNA", at positions 1786 to 1831 of the family's 1831-position model. RNAcentral also lists the same sequence under 1 other name. Lineage: Eukaryota; Fungi. The record is from RNAcentral.
AAGUCGUAACAAGGUUUCCGUAGGUGAACCUGCGGAAGGAUCAUUACCAAUCCAAAGUGACAGUGGUCAAGGUCAAACUUGGCUGCUGUUAACUAAACACUUGUGAACUGUAAACUUAGACAGAGUCUUGGACUGCCGCUGUCUGUGCCACAGACAGUAGGCUGAUCAUUGGAGACUGGUCUAUGAUCACUGCCGAAGCGAUUCGGCAAUGGUUUAGACUAAGGUCCUUUGAUGACUGACGCAAGUCAAAGUCCUUGCUUCCGUCGCUGUAUAUUGGCACUUAAUAUUUUAAAUGUCUAAGACCGUGACAAACUUUUAACGUAUUACAACCUUUAACAAUGGAUCUCUUGGCUCCU